UGGGGGAUAUUGCGCAAUGGGGGAAACUCUGAUGCAGCAACGCCGCGUGAAGGAAGAAGGUCUUCGGAUUGUAAACUUCUUUUGUCAGGGACGAAGAAAGUGACGGUACCUGACGAAUAAGCUCCGGCUAACUACGUGCCAGCAGCCGCGGUAAUACGUAGGGAGCGAGCGUUGUCCGGAUUUACUGGGUGUAAAGGGUGCGUAGGCGGCCGAGCAAGUCAGUUGUGAAAACUAUGGGCUUAACCCAUAACGUGCAAUUGAAACUGUCCGGCUUGAGUGAAGUAGAGGUAGGCGGAAUUCCCGGUGUAGCGGUGAAAUGCGUAGAGAUCGGGAGGAACACCAGUGGCGAAGGCGGCCUACUGGGCUUUAACUGACGCUGAGGCACGAAAGCAUGGGUAGCAAACAGGAUUAGAUACCCUGGUAGUCCAUGCCGUAAACGAUGAUUACUAGGUGUGGGGGGACUGACCCCUUCCGUGCCGCAGUUAACACAAUAAGUAAUCCACCUGGGGAGUACGGCCGCAAGGUUGAAACUCAAAGGAAUUGACGGGGGCCCGCACAAGCAGUGGAGUAUGUGGUUUAAUUCGAAGCAACGCGAAGAACCUUACCAGGUCUUGACAUCCUGAGAAUCCUUAAGAGAUUAGGGAGUGCCUUCGGGAACUCAGAGACAGGUGGUGCAUGGUUGUCGUCAGCUCGUGUCGUGAGAUGUUGGGUUAAGUCCCGCAACGAGCGCAACCCUUGCUAUUAGUUGCUACGCAAGAGCACUCUAAUAGGACUGCCGUUGACAAAACGGAGGAAGGUGGGGACGACGUCAAAUCAUCAUGCCCCUUAUGACCUGGGCUACACACGUACUACAAUGGCCAUUAACAGAGGGAAGCAAAACCGCGAGGCAGAGCAAACCCCUAAAAAUGGUCCCAGUUCGGAUUGUAGGCUGCAACCCGCCUACAUGAAGUUGGAAUUGCUAGUAAUCGCGGAUCAGCAUGCCGCGGUGAAUACGUUCCC
Molecule: ribosomal RNA, 999 nt
Filed under: uncultured bacterium
Lineage: Bacteria
Description: bacterial SSU rRNA
Rfam family: Bacterial small subunit ribosomal RNA
Source: RNAcentral